UAGGGAAUCUUCCGCAAUGGGCGAAAGCCUGACGGAGCAACGCCGCGUGAGUGAUGAAGGUCUUCGGAUCGUAAAACUCUGUUAUUAGGGAAGAACAAAUGUGUAAGUAACUAUGCACGUCUUGACGGUACCUAAUCAGAAAGCCACGGCUAACUACGUGCCAGCAGCCGCGGUAAUACGUAGGUGGCAAGCGUUAUCCGGAAUUAUUGGGCGUAAAGCGCGCGUAGGCGGUUUUUUAAGUCUGAUGUGAAAGCCCACGGCUCAACCGUGGAGGGUCAUUGGAAACUGGAAAACUUGAGUGCAGAAGAGGAAAGUGGAAUUCCAUGUGUAGCGGUGAAAUGCGUAGAUAUAUGGAGGAACACCAGUGGCGAAGGCGACUCUCUGGUCUGUAACUGACGCUGAGGUUCGAAAGCGUGGGUAGCAAACAGG
Molecule: ribosomal RNA, 429 nt
Filed under: Bacteroidota bacterium
Lineage: Bacteria; Pseudomonadati; Bacteroidota
Description: Bacteroidetes bacterium partial 16S ribosomal RNA
Rfam family: Bacterial small subunit ribosomal RNA
Source: RNAcentral